This 3004-nucleotide small RNA is filed under the name Pan troglodytes (chimpanzee). RNAcentral describes it as "retained intron". The record is from RNAcentral. Lineage: Eukaryota; Metazoa; Chordata; Mammalia; Primates; Hominidae.
UGCUCCUGCACCGGUCUGCAUCUCCCAGCAGAAGGCGCAGCCAUGAAUCCGUUAUUCGGCCCCAACCUCUUCCUCCUGCAGCAGGAGCAGCAGGGCCUGGCCGGGCCACUGGGGGACUCACUGGGAGGCGACCACUUCGCCGGGGGAGGAGACUUGCCCCCGGCGCCUCUCUCGCCGGCCGGCCCUGCUGCCUACUCGCCGCCCGGGCCGGGCCCGGCCCCGCCUGCCGCCAUGGCCCUCCGCAAUGACCUGGGCUCCAACAUCAACGUGCUCAAGACCCUGAACCUCCGGUUCCGCUGCUUCCUGGCCAAGGUGCAUGAGCUGGAGCGCCGGAACCGGCUGUUGGAGAAGCAACUGCAGCAAGCGCUGGAGGAGGGUAAGCAGGGCCGGCGGGGCCUGGGUCGUCGCGACCAGGCAGUGCAGACCGGCUUCGUCAGCCCCAUCCGGCCCCUGGGGCUGCAGCUGGGCGCCCGGCCGGCCGCUGUCUGCAGCCCUUCGGCGCGCGUGCUGGGCUCGCCCGCGCGCUCCCCGGCCGGCCCCCUCGCGCCCUCCGCGGCCAGCCUCUCGUCGUCCUCCACCUCCACCUCCACCACCUAUUCCUCGUCGGCCCGCUUCAUGCCCGGCACCAUCUGGUCGUUCUCGCACGCCCGCCGGCUCGGGCCGGGACUGGAGCCCACUCUGGUGCAAGGGCCUGGCUUGUCGUGGGUGCACCCGGAUGGGGUGGGCGUCCAGAUCGACACCAUCACGCCCGAGAUCCGCGCUCUCUACAACGUGCUGGCCAAAGUGAAGCGGGAGCGGGACGAGUACAAGCGGAGAUGCUUUUACAGGGUUAAAUGAUACCACAAGAGGCAGGGCAGCGGGCUCGACGAGCUCUGUUCUGGUGCGGGCAGGAGGCGGGAGCCCGGAUCUGUGCGACUGAAGGUGGGAAGAGGAGUACACGGUGCGGAUCCAGCUGCAAGACCGUGUAAAUGAGCUCCAGGAGGAAGCCCAGGAGGCUGAUGCCUGCCAGGAGGAGCUGGCACUGAAGGUGGAACAGUUGAAGGCUGAGCUGGUGGUCUUCAAGGGGCUCAUGAGUAACAACCUGUCGGAGCUGGACACCAAGAUCCAGGAGAAAGCCAUGAAGGUGGAUAUGGACAUCUGCCGCCGCAUCGACAUCACCGCCAAGCUCUGCGAUGUGGCUCAGCAGCGCAACUGCGAGGACAUGAUCCAGAUGUUCCAGGUCCCAUCCAUGGGGGGGCGGAAGCGGGAGCGCAAGGCUGCCGUCGAGGAGGACACCUCCCUGUCGGAGAGUGAGGGGCCCCGCCAGCCCGAUGGGGAUGAGGAGGAGAGCACAGCCCUCAGCAUCAACGAGGAGAUGCAGCGCAUGCUCAACCAGCUGAGGGAGUAUGAUUUUGAGGACGACUGUGACAGCCUGACUUGGGAGGAGACUGAGGAGACCCUGCUGCUUUGGGAGGAUUUCUCAGGCUAUGCCAUGGCAGCUGCAGAGGCCCAGGGAGAGGUAACCUCUGCUCCCGGCCUCAGGGCCCUCUGGCUCUGCCUCUCCAGCCUGACGCCCACUCCCCCGCUCCUCUCCUUGCUCUGUCCCCCCAUGUGGCUGUCAUCCUCUACCUGCGUCUCCCCUCUUCCUUUAUCCUUUUGCUUUUCUUUCUCCAGUUUCUUUAACCAGACUUCCUCUCUCUCUCUCUCCCUGACUUGGCCCUUUGGAAUGCGUCCCAUCCCAUCCCUCCUUGGCUGGCCUCCCCCGCUUCCCUUUCUACUCCAGCAGCAGGAAGAUAGCCUGGAGAAGGUGAUUAAAGAUACGGAGUCCCUGUUCAAAACCCGGGAGAAGGAGUAUCAGGAGACCAUUGACCAGAUAGAGCUGGAGUUGGCCACGGCCAAGAACGACAUGAACCGGCACCUGCACGAGUACAUGGAGAUGUGCAGCAUGAAGCGCGGCCUGGACGUGCAGAUGGAGACCUGCCGCCGGCUCAUCACCCAGUCUGGAGACCGAAAGUCUCCUGCUUUCGCUGCGGUCCCGCUUAGCGACCCGCCGCCGCCGCCGCCAAGCGAGGCUGAGGACUCCGAUCGCGAUGUCUCAUCUGACAGCUCCAUGAGAUAGAGACCUGCCUCCCCCUUGCACCCGAGGCCCUCGCAGCGGGGACCUCAGCGAGGCAGAGGGUGGGGCUGCACAGAGGGGAACAUCAGCUGCAGCUCUGCACCAGGCCGGCCCCUGGGGACUGGGGCGCUCCUCCCUCAGGCUUUCUCCCUCGGUCUUGGCUUCUCCAGGGCUCUGGGGUGUCUGGAGCUAGGCUUGGCCCUACCAUUCUGGGGCCAUUUCCACCACAGUUGGGGCUCUCCUGCCUUCACGCGUGGGUGUCUGCUACUUCCCCAUCUUUAAAAUGCUGCCAGAGCGAUUGCGGCCCCUCACCUUGUCCACGUAUCAGGAAUGUGAAUGUGGGACCUUUCCUCCAUCCCUGUUGUCCGGAGCCAGCUCACUGUCUUCCACACUGGUGCUAACUGGCCCAGGCACUGGAGUGGAAUAGAAUGCAGCUGGAGGCUACGCAUGGCCUCUGCAGCACACGCAGCUGGAGAGGGCUUCUGUCCCUGUCAGCGGCAGAGGGCGUUGGGGCUGGCCGGGGCACCUUGUCCCUGCUAUGGUCCACAUGCUCACGCUGUCCACCUGCCAGGUGGAGUGUAUGUGGCUGUGGCCCUCCCUCGUGGAGGUGCCGUGCUUUAAAGAGGCCUUAGUGCCCGGGAUGGGCACAGUGUUUUGAAGGGAGGUGGGAGCUCUUGCUCUCCUGGUCACUGCAGAAUGACAGAGAAGGUGAAGCUCCGUGCAUGUGUGCGCGGGUGUAUGUGCGCUCAGGGUCUCUGUUUAAGUAUCAGCUAAAGAUGUGCCCCCUCCAUGUCUGUCAUACACUGAGACCAACAGGCUACAGUGUCCCUGAUUCUUGGAAAAGCCUGGAGAAGCUGGGGAGAUGCGGUUCACAAUGCCUCGGUAUAGGAGGCUGUGUUGAGCUGACAU